UUGUCCUACGGGGCGCAGCAGUGAGGAAUAUUGGUCAAUGGACGAGAGUCUGAACCAGCCAAGUAGCGUGAAGGAUGACUGCCCUAUGGGUUGUAAACUUCUUUUAUAUGGGAAUAAAGUUUUCCACGUGUGGAAUUUUGUAUGUACCAUAUGAAUAAGGAUCGGCUAACUCCGUGCCAGCAGCCGCGGUAAUACGGAGGAUCCGAGCGUUAUCCGGAUUUAUUGGGUUUAAAGGGAGCGUAGGUGGAUUGUUAAGUCAGUUGUGAAAGUUUGCGGCUCAACCCCGUACUGCCGUUGAAACUGCA
Molecule: ribosomal RNA, 305 nt
Filed under: uncultured bacterium
Lineage: Bacteria
Description: bacterial SSU rRNA
Rfam family: Bacterial small subunit ribosomal RNA
Source: RNAcentral